This is a long non-coding RNA of Ostrea edulis (European flat oyster), 620 nucleotides long. RefSeq lists it as uncharacterized. The record is from RefSeq and is a predicted model, not a curated record. NCBI's taxonomy places the organism in Eukaryota, Metazoa, Mollusca, Bivalvia, Ostreida, Ostreidae. The transcript is spliced from 4 exons.
UCUAGAGCCAGACUUCAGAUGGAAAAACCCACUCUAGAGCCAGACUUCUGCAGAGGACAGGCUCACUCUAGAGUCAGACUUCCGGGGGAAGUCUCACUAUGGGAGAAGUAUGGCUCUAUAACAGGGGUCACAACCGCCGUGAUCUCUAUAUCCUGAUCAGUUUGAUGACUGACAAUCGGACACACUGUCUUCUUCUGAACUGGUCUGAGAAUGAGUCCAACUUAGUUUUGUGUACACACAACCAACAUUCGCCAAUUGCAAAGGAAUUUUCAAUAUUUAAAAUGCAGACACAAGUCCCAUCAGGACAUAUGAAGCACGAUUGGUAUAAAUAGUAGAGGAGUACCAGGGCCCCAUCACUUGGAUUCAUCUCUAAGACACUCCACUCAAACAAAGAAUGUUCAAGCUGUUGUGCUUCAUCGGUCUCCUCUCCGUAUCUUUUAGUACUGGAUACAAAAGCAACGCUGGUAAUGGAGGAGUUUACUAUGCAGGAGUUUCCUAUGGAGGAGUUUCCCAUGCAGCUAUAAGUGGUUAUGAAAAUGGUUUCAAUAGAGCUGGAGCCAGCUAUAGUGCAGGCAGCCAUGGCAGAGUAGGUUACGGAGAAAGACGUUGAAGCUCUGGAU